This 435-nucleotide ribosomal RNA is filed under the name Sigara substriata. Its description in RNAcentral is "partial large subunit ribosomal RNA". It matches the Rfam family "Archaeal large subunit ribosomal RNA", at positions 1921 to 2592 of the family's 2987-position model. Lineage: Eukaryota; Metazoa; Arthropoda; Insecta; Hemiptera; Corixidae. The record is from RNAcentral.
GUCCUUUUGAUUUUUAUUUAAGGUCUGACCUGCCCACUGAUUUAUUUAAUGGCCGCGGUAUUUUGACCGUGCAAAGGUAGCAUAAUAAUUUGUCUUUUAAUUGAAGGCUUGUAUGAAUGGUUGGACGAGAAAAUUACUUUCUUUAUAAUAAAAUGAUUAAUUUUAUUUUUUAGUUAAAAAGCUAAAAUUCUGUUGUAGGACGAGAAGACCCUAUAGAACUUUAUAUUUAUUUAAGUAUUAAUAUUUUUGGUUAAUGAUAUAUUGUAUUUUUAUAAAUAUUUUGUUGGGGCGACAAGAAAAUUUAUUUAACUUUUUUUUAUCAAUUUCAUUAAUUAAUGUGUAAAUGAUCCUUUAUUAUGGAUAGUUAGAAUAAGUUACCUUAGGGAUAACAGCGUAAUUUUUUUGGAGAGUUCUUAUCGAUAAAAAAGUUUGCGA